AAAGGCGUAGUCGAUGGGAAACGGGUUAAUAUUCCCGUACUUGGUGUUACUGCGAAGGGGGGACGGAGAAGGCUAUGUUGGCCGGGCGACGGUUGUCCCGGUUUAAGCGUGUAGGCUGGUUUUCCAGGCAAAUCCGGAAAAUCAAGGCUGAGGCGUGAUGACGAGGCACUACGGUGCUGAAGCAACAAAUGCCCUGCUUCCAGGAAAAGCCUCUAAGCAUCAGGUAACAUCAAAUCGUACCCCAAACCGACACAGGUGGUCAGGUAGAGAAUACCAAGGCGCUUGAGAGAACUCGGGUGAAGGAACUAGGCAAAAUGGUGCCGUAACUUCGGGAGAAGGCACGCUGACACGUAGGUGAAGUGAUUUACUCAUGGAGCUGAAGUCAGUCGAAGAUACCAGCUGGCUGCAACUGUUUAUUAAAAACACAGCACUGUGCAAACACGAAAGUGGACGUAUACGGUGUGACGCCUGCCCGGUGCCGGAAGGUUAAUUGAUGGGGUCAGCGCAAGCGAAGCUCCUGAUCGAAGCCCCGGUAAACGGCGGCCGUAACUAUAACGGUCCUAAGGUAGCGAAAUUCCUUGUCGGGUAAGUUCCGACCUGCACGAAUGGCGUAAUGAUGGCCAGGCUGUCUCCACCCGAGACUCAGUGAAAUUGAACUCGCUGUGAAGAUGCAGUGUACCCGCGGCAAGACGGAAAGACCCCGUGAACCUUUACUAUAGCUUGACACUGAACAUUGAGCCUUGAUGUGUAGGAUAGGUGGGAGGCUUUGAAGUGUGGACGCCAGUCUGCAUGGAGCCGACCUUGAAAUACCACCCUUUAAUGUUUGAUGUUCUAACGUGGACCCGUUACCCGGGUUGCGGACAGUGUCUGGUGGGUAGUUUGACUGGGGCGGUCUCCUCCUAAAGAGUAACGGAGGAGCACGAAGGUUGGCUAAUCCUGGUCGGACAUCAGGAGGUUAGUGCAAUGGCAUAAGCCAGCUUGACUGCGAGCGUGACGGCGCGAGCAGGUGCGAAAGCAGGUCAUAGUGAUCCGGUGGUUCUGAAUGGAAGGGCCAUCGCUCAACGGAUAAAAGGUACUCCGGGGAUAACAGGCUGAUACCGCCCAAGAGUUCAUAUCGACGGCGGUGUUUGGCACCUCGAUGUCGGCUCAUCACAUCCUGGGGCUGAAGUAGGUCCCAAGGGUAUGGCUGUUCGCCAUUUAAAGUGGUACGCGAGCUGGGUUUAGAACGUCGUGAGACAGUUCGGUCCCUAUCUGCCGUGGGCGCUGGAGAACUGAGGGGGGCUGCUCCUAGUACGAGAGGACCGGAGUGGACGCAUCACUGGUGUUCGGGUUGUCAUGCCAAUGGCACUGCCCGGUAGCUAAAUGCGGAAGAGAUAAGUGCUGAAAGCAUCUAAGCACGAAACUUGCCCCGA
This 1412-nucleotide ribosomal RNA is filed under the name Salmonella enterica subsp. enterica serovar Enteritidis. Its description in RNAcentral is "partial 23S ribosomal RNA". It matches the Rfam family "Bacterial large subunit ribosomal RNA", at positions 1405 to 2802 of the family's 2925-position model. Lineage: Bacteria; Pseudomonadati; Pseudomonadota; Gammaproteobacteria; Enterobacterales; Enterobacteriaceae. The record is from RNAcentral.